This 973-nucleotide ribosomal RNA is filed under the name Lacticaseibacillus casei. RNAcentral describes it as "bacterial SSU rRNA". It matches the Rfam family "Bacterial small subunit ribosomal RNA", at positions 1 to 1016 of the family's 1533-position model. The record is from RNAcentral. Lineage: Bacteria; Bacillati; Bacillota; Bacilli; Lactobacillales; Lactobacillaceae.
CAGGGGGCGGUGCUAUCAUGCAGUCGACGAGUUCUCGUUGAUGAUCGGUGCUUGCACCGAGAUUCAACAUGGAACGAGUGGCGGACGGGUGAGUAACACGUGGGUAACCUGCCCUUAAGUGGGGGAUAACAUUUGGAAACAGAUGCUAAUACCGCAUAGAUCCAAGAACCGCAUGGUUCUUGGCUGAAAAAUGGCGUAAGCUAUCGCUUUUGGAUGGACCCGCGGCGUAUUAGCUAGUUGGGGAGGUAAUGGCUCACCAAGGCGAUGAUACGUAGCCAAACUGAGAGGUUGAUCGGCCACUUUGGGACUGAGACACGGCCCAAACUCCUACGGGAGGCAGCAGUAGGGAAUCUUCCACAAUGGACGCAAGUCUGAUGGAGCACCGCCGCGUGAGUAAAGAAGGCUUUCGGGUCGUAAAACUCUGUUGUUAGAGAAGAAUGGUCGGCAGAGUAACUGUUGUCGGCGUGACGGUAUCCAACCAGAAAGCCACGGCUAACUACGUGCCAGCAGCCGCGGUAAUACGUAGGUGGCAAGCGUUAUCCGGAUUUAUGGGGCGUAAAGCGAGCGCAGGCGGUUUUUUAAGUCUGAUGUGAAAGCCCUCGGCUUAACCGAGGAAGCGCAUCGAAAACUGGAAAACUUGAGUGCAGAAGAGGACAGUGAAACUCCGUGUGUAGCGGUGAAUCGCGUAUAUUUUGGAAGAACCCAGUGGGAAGGCGGCUUCUGGUCUGAACUGACGCUGAGGCCAAAAGCUGGGUGGCGACAGGAUUAGACCCCGGGUACCCUAGCCGAAACGAUAAUGCUAGGUGUGAAGGUUUCCCCCUUCAGUGCCGAGCAACGCUUAAUCAUCCCCCGGGGAACCUGCCGCAGGGUGAACCUCAAGGAUUGCCGGGGCCCGCACACGGGUGAACUUGGGUUUAUUGAAGCACGAAGAGACUUGCUGGUCUGAUUCUAUGAUCCGUGAAAGCAGGUUUCU